CAGGCGAGGUCUUUCCGUAAGAAAGUCCCCGUGAAGGCGUAUCCUGCUUUCCUCUGCACGGUUGCUUUAGAGGAUUAUUUAUGUAAUAUACAGAAAGUGGACUUCAAUAUAUUUCAUCCAAGCUUGCAGAAGAAAAGUACAUUAUUACCAUUGUAUUUGUAUAUUAGAUCUUGGAAAAAAACAUAUUAAAAUAUUCUUAAUAUGA
Non-coding RNA from Tinamus guttatus (white-throated tinamou), 205 nucleotides. The record is from RefSeq and is a predicted model, not a curated record. Lineage: Eukaryota; Metazoa; Chordata; Aves; Tinamiformes; Tinamidae.